This 69-nucleotide transfer RNA is filed under the name Rattus norvegicus (Norway rat). It matches the Rfam family "tRNA". Rfam says of the family: Transfer RNA (tRNA) molecules are approximately 80 nucleotides in length. Their secondary structure includes four short double-helical elements and three loops (D, anti-codon, and T loops). Further hydrogen bonds mediate the characteristic L-shaped molecular structure. tRNAs have two regions of fundamental functional importance: the anti-codon, which is responsible for specific mRNA codon recognition, and the 3' end, to which the tRNAs corresponding amino acid is attached (by aminoacyl-tRNA synthetases). tRNAs cope with the degeneracy of the genetic code in two manners: having more than one tRNA (with a specific anti-codon) for a particular amino acid; and 'wobble' base-pairing, i.e. permitting non-standard base-pairing at the 3rd anti-codon position. The record is from Rfam by way of RNAcentral. Lineage: Eukaryota; Metazoa; Chordata; Mammalia; Rodentia; Muridae.
GGGGAUGUAGCUCAGUGGUAGAGCGCUUGCCUAGGAAGCGCAAGGCCCUGGGUUCGGUCCCCAUCUCCG